Molecule: ribosomal RNA, 769 nt
Filed under: Globigerinella siphonifera
Lineage: Eukaryota; Foraminifera; Rotaliida; Globigerinidae
Description: SSU rRNA
Rfam family: Eukaryotic small subunit ribosomal RNA (bases 1-691)
Source: RNAcentral
ACGCGGGGAAUCUUACCGGGUCCGGACACACUGAGGAUUGACAGACAAUUGUCUUUUUGUCAAAUUAAAAGACAAAAGAUAACAGAUCUUUCAUGAUUAUGUGAUGGGUGGGCAUGGCCGUCUUAGUUCGUGGAGUGAUCUGUCUGCUUAAUUGCGUUUCAAAUAUUUUAUUAUAUACGAGUCUACAAAGGAGUGGUUCAUUAACAGACAAUCAUAUCUUUGAGCGUCUGGAAUCUACUCUAUUUGGCUCAAUUGAACGCAACGGACGUGAUCGCGAGUCCUUGUUGAACUUCAGUAUAUAUUGACUUUCCCCGUAGGAAGGGAUUGGCAAUAAUUGAAUGUUCGCUUUCUAUUAGGUUUGUAUGUAAUCUCAAAAUUACAUGUAUUUGUAAUGGCGAGUGAUCACACCUAUAGGAAAACUCGGGCGACCGCUGUAAUAUUUCUCUUUAAAACAGAGGAAGAUUGCGGCAAUAACAGGUCUGUGAUGCCCUCAGAUGUCCCGGGCCGCACACGUGCUACAUUGAUUAGCGCAGUGCGCAUACUUUCAAUAUGAUACAUUAGAUUGGAUAGCUUUUGCUUCCAUCUAAUACUAUCCGGCUUGAGAAGGCUGGGUAAUCAAUUGUAAGUGCUGGUUCCUCCUCCCGUUGAGCAUUUUAAUAAUGGCCUCUCUACAUCCCUAGUAAUAUGACUAGGCGAUUGUAGUUGAGCCUUGCCAUUUAUGCAAGUGUCAAUUCUCAUGGGGACAGACAUUUGAUAAUUCUUUGUCUCG